AGUGCGGCCGUCAUGGCGUCGCCCUUCAGCGGGGCGCUGCAGCUGACGGACCUGGAUGACUUCAUCGGGCCGUCUCAGGAGUGCAUCAAGCCUGUCAAAGUGGAAAAAAGGGCGGGAAGUGGCGUGGCCAAGAUUCGCAUUGAAGAUGACGGGAGCUACUUCCAAAUUAACCAAGACGGCGGGACCCGGAGGCUGGAGAAGGCCAAGGUCUCGCUAAACGACUGCCUAGCGUGCAGCGGCUGCAUCACCUCCGCAGAGACCGUGCUUAUCACCCAGCAGAGCCACGAGGAGCUGAAGAAGGUUCUAGAUGCUAACAAGGGGUGCACUUCGUCUUCGACACUGCCUUCUCAAGGCACUUCAGCCUCCUGGAGAGCCAGCGAGAGUUUGUGCGGCGAUUCCGAGGACAGGCCGACUGCAAACAGGCCCUGCCCCUGCUGGCCUCCGCCUGCCCAGGCUGGAUCUGCUAUGCCGAGAAGACCCACGGCAGCUUCAUCCUCCCCCACAUCAGCACCGCCCGGUCCCCGCAGCAGGUCAUGGGCUCUCUGGUCAAGGACUUCUUCGCCCAGCAGCAGGUAACGGCGUUGGGCCAGCCCCAGGCUCAGGCUGGGGAGCGGCCAGAAGUCACCAUGCUGGCCUCUUGCCUUGAGGCUGCAGAAACAGAGUCCCCGCCGUGGUGUGCCGCCUUCCCGAGCACACCUGCACCCUUGUUCCCUCCUGGUUCAGGCCCUUCCUCUUCUGCAGCAGAGGGCUUCGUUCUGAUCCAGAGGUGCUCACUGCUCACCCAGAGGCAGCCAGGCCUGAGGCUGAGGGAGCAGGAGGCCCUGGGCAGUCCGGGCCUGGAGCCCACCCUGCCGGCCACCAGGUCCACGAGGAUGCCCAGCACGACCCCCACCUGAGGCCCAGCGGGAUUGAAGCCUGACGACGCUCAGCCAGCAGGGGGCGGGAGAGGGUGAGGGCGG
This 959-nucleotide small RNA is filed under the name Pongo abelii (Sumatran orangutan). Its description in RNAcentral is "retained intron". Lineage: Eukaryota; Metazoa; Chordata; Mammalia; Primates; Hominidae. The record is from RNAcentral.